This 400-nucleotide ribosomal RNA is filed under the name uncultured bacterium. RNAcentral describes it as "bacterial SSU rRNA". It matches the Rfam family "Bacterial small subunit ribosomal RNA", at positions 355 to 771 of the family's 1533-position model. The record is from RNAcentral.
UCGAGAAUAUUCGACAAUGGACGAAAGUCUGAUCGAGCGACGCCGCGUGGAGGAUGAAGGUCUUCGGAUUGUAAACUCCUUUUCUACAGCAAAAAGUUAUUGAUUACUGUAGGAAUAAGACGCUGCAAACUUCGUGCCAGCAGCCGCGGUAAUACGAAGGCGUCAAGCGUUAUCCGGAUUUAUUGGGCGUAAAGAGUGCGUAGGGGGUUCAGUGCGUCUGUUGUUAAAUGUCACCGCUUAACGGUGUCGCUGCAAUGGAAACGGCUGAACUAGAGGGGGCUAGAGGCUAAUAGAACAUACGGUGUAGGGGUGAAAUCCGUUGAUAUCGUGUGGAAUACCAAAGGCGAAGGCAUUUAGCUGGGGCCUUCCUGACCCUUAAGCACGAAAGCGUGGGGAGCAA